Molecule: non-coding RNA, 1428 nt
Organism: Arachis ipaensis
Lineage: Eukaryota; Viridiplantae; Streptophyta; Magnoliopsida; Fabales; Fabaceae
Source: RefSeq, a predicted model, not a curated record
CUAAUCAUUUAUUCACAUUCACAGGAACAAGUAAAACUCCUUGGUCAUUAAAUCAAAAUCUCUCACUCCUCACAUUCAAAUCUCGCUCACGCUGUGAUCUAAUCACUUAUUCCUUCGCGCGUUUGCUUUGAUCUCGAUCUCGCUGGAUUUCAAUCCCAAUCUCGCUCUUGCUCUCACUCGAUUCUCGAUCUCUCUCGCUCUCGCUUGAUCUCGAUUCUCGAUAUCUCUCCGGUGAGACUGCAACCUUUGAAUUUGUUGCUGAUCUGCUCUCCUAAGUCAUUGUUGCCUCUGUGAUCAUUGCUGCUCCUCUGUCCUCUUCAUUGUAAGUGUCUCUGCUUUCUGCUCCCAGUCAUUGUCACCAUUGCUCUGUAGCUUCUUAUUGCAGAUUGAAGAAGAGAAACUUCAAUUACACAAGUACAAACAUUUUGUUGUGAUUUGUUUGCCUCACCGGGUAAUCUUCAACUACAGCAAGGCAUUCCAGUUAUUUUCAAGUGGUUAAUCUAUAAUCAAUUUAAAUUUGUUGCUUCUAAAGGAAUCAAACUUGGAGGGAUUGGGAGUGUGCGAGGCUAUGGUAAACGAGCAAUAGGGUCUGGAAGAUCUUGUCCACUUCCUUUGGGGAGAUCAGAACAUAGAAGAACAUGGCUUGGUUGUGAUGAUCACUUUGAUAGAAGUGAAUACAUAUCUUUUGUUUGUAGCACAUAUCUACCCCAUUGAUAUGGAUGAUGGAGUAGAAGUCUGGCAUGGCGCACUAGGACUACGACAACUGGGGAUAGCAGCGACACACUGUAAACUUGAGCCUAUGGUUGCCAAUUUCGUCAAGGUUUUAUGCAGCCAGGAGAUAUACAGGUAUGCGCUGAUGGAGAUGGGUUACGACUCACCAGACAUUCCCAUAGGGAUGGUUACAGCUUCACUUGAAAAGAUGUGAGGAAGCACUGUUGGAGUUCAUAGAGAAGGUUAAGUCAUCGAAGGAGAAGGAGUAGAAUGGACCAAAGGCUGAGGCUGUCUGGCCAGAUAUUAGCCAAAGAUGGUUCACUAUGAUGCACUCCACUAGGCCUUUCUUUUUCAGAGAUUAACAAGAGAUUGUAGAACAUAUACUAACUAUCAUGGUGGACAAUAUUGAGAAAAUAUUGGAGAGAGGUGAUCGAAUUGAGCUUCUUGUCGAUAAGACCGCUACAAUGCAAGACAACGCAUUUCACUUUAGGAAACAAUCAAAGCGCCUUCGAAGAGCUCUUUGGAUGAAAAUUUUUAAACUCCUUUUGAUUAAUUGGUGAGAAUAUGCUACUUGGUGGAAGUUAAGUAUGAGAAGAAGGAAGCAGUAAUGGACACCACAGAGUGAAAAGACUAACAUUUUGUGAUGGUGAAAUUAAAGACCAUGUGUUUUGGCUGAAGCUCCUUCAAGUUUAGAAAGAAGUUUGGAACCAUUGGUCA